RNAcentral lists this ribosomal RNA (460 nucleotides) under uncultured bacterium. RNAcentral's name for it is "partial 16S ribosomal RNA". It matches the Rfam family "Bacterial small subunit ribosomal RNA", at positions 338 to 795 of the family's 1533-position model. The record is from RNAcentral.
CCUACGGGAGGCAGCAGUGAGGAAUAUUGGUCAAUGGGCGCGAGCCUGAACCAGCCAAGUAGCGUGCAGGAUGACUGCCCUACGGGUUGUAACCUUCUUUUAUAAAGGAAUAAAGUGAGGCACGUGUGCCUUUUUGUAUGUACUUUAUGCUUAGGGAUCGGCUAACUCCGUUCCAGCAGCCGCGGUAAUACGGAGGAUCCGAGCGUUAUCCGGAUUUAGUGGGUUUAAAGGGAGCGUAGUUGGGUUGUUAAGUCAGUUGUGAAAGUUUGCGGCUCAACCGUAAAAUUGCAAUGGAUACUGGCAGCCGUGAGUACAGUUGAGGUAGGCGGAAUGCGUGGUGUAGCAGUGAAAUGCUGAGAUAUCACGAAGAACUCCGAUUGCGAAGGCAGCUUACUAAACUGCAACUGACAGUGAUGCUCGAAAGUGUGGGUAUCAAACAGGAUUAGAUACCCCGGUAGUC